UAAGGAAUAUUGGACAAUGGAGGCAACUCUGAUCCAGCCAUGCCGCGUGAAGGAAUAAGGCCCUAUGGGUUGUAAACUUCUUUUAGACGGGACAAAACCCCUUUACGUGUAAAGGGUUGAUGGUACUGUCAGAAUAAGCAUCGGCUAACUUCGUGCCAGCAGCCGCGGUAAUACGAAGGAUGCAAGCGUUAUCCGGAAUUAUUGCGUUUAAAGGGUGCGUAGGCGGACUAAUAAGUCAGUGGUGAAAGCCUGCAGCUUAACUGCAGAAUUGCCAUUGAUACUGUUAGUCUUGAGUACAGUUGAGGUAGGCGGAAUGUGUCAUGUAGCGGUGAAAUGCUUAGAUAUGACACAGAACACCGAUUGCGAAGGCAGCUUGCUAGGCUGUAACUGACGCUGAGGCACGA
Molecule: ribosomal RNA, 404 nt
Filed under: uncultured bacterium
Lineage: Bacteria
Description: bacterial SSU rRNA
Rfam family: Bacterial small subunit ribosomal RNA
Source: RNAcentral